CUCCAGCUAGCUAGCUAGUCAAUGUAUUUUAAUUUUAUUAAUUGAAAGGAAGGACUAAGGAGGGAAAAGAAUGCAAAGGAAACAUGAAAAGAUUUUACAAAUUUUUAAAUGCUUAUUUUUCCAGAUGGAAGGUUGAGACAGUAGGAUUAGAGACUUCAUGGCUGCAGAUGUUGAAGCUUUUGCUAAAUGAACAGCCAAAGUCAGUU
RNAcentral lists this long non-coding RNA (206 nucleotides) under Homo sapiens (human). RNAcentral's name for it is "non-protein coding lnc-FGFR1OP-19:1". The record is from RNAcentral. Lineage: Eukaryota; Metazoa; Chordata; Mammalia; Primates; Hominidae.